CUGACCUGCAGGCUGUCUCUCUGCCCGCGCCUGCCGGAGCAACCAGCGGUGCGGGGUGCGGGUCCCCGCUGCUCCUCAGCCGGAGCACAGGAGGGCACCGGCUCACGCUCAGGGCUCUGCACAAGUUUCGAAACAGUUCAACGUGAUAAAAUUGGCACUUUUGACUUUCAUAGUGAGGAAGUUUCAUCCUGGGCUAAAGAAAUAUAUUAGUAGUGAGCACAGGGAAACCUUCCUGGUGUGUUCUGGACAGUGUUCUGGCACUACCUUUGUCUUCCUUGGAUUCUCAGAGCUUACAACUAGAUUUCCUGGCAAAUGAAAUAUUUUAGCCUAACAAAUUUAAAAACAUGAAACUAGUCCAUGUGUUGUA
Molecule: long non-coding RNA, 367 nt
Organism: Vidua macroura (Pin-tailed whydah)
Lineage: Eukaryota; Metazoa; Chordata; Aves; Passeriformes; Viduidae
Exons: 3
Source: RefSeq, a predicted model, not a curated record